CAUUAGUUUGCAGAUUUGACCUGCCUUUCUGGGUGGAGUUUCCAUGUUCUCUCCAGGCCUGUCCAGUGUGACCUUCACCUCUCGCACAGUGACUGCUGGUGAUAGACACCCAAGACGCCCUGUGACAAGGAAACGAACAGCAGAGAAAACACGUGGAGGCGGCGCGGUUUACUCAGUGCCAAACUUCCCCGAGGGCGCGGUGCAAGCUGCUUCACCAGUCUGCUGGGAGUUUUCUGUCAUCUGAUACCUGGUGUUUAAGGAGGGAGGAGGACCCCAAACUGGAGGAACACACAACUCUACAUGACCUGAAUGUGGAGGGCAGAAAAAGCCUCGGUCAACCCAUUCUUGUGUCCUUCCUGCUGUUCCUGAAGAGUUGCCGUGGCGUUUUCUUCUCCCGCUGGAGGCGGGGGGCUGCUGUCAGUGGGCACCGUUGCCAUGGAGGGUGUGCUUCAACUGCAACAAUGUUUAAGGAUCUGGCAUCUGCGGCGUUUCCAGGCGGAUACACCGCAGUGGACUGGGAGUUCUGCAGAAUUCAGAAAGGGGCCACGGCAGCUCAAGCAGGUGGA
Molecule: long non-coding RNA, 566 nt
Organism: Austrofundulus limnaeus
Lineage: Eukaryota; Metazoa; Chordata; Actinopteri; Cyprinodontiformes; Rivulidae
Exons: 5
Source: RefSeq, a predicted model, not a curated record